Molecule: non-coding RNA, 803 nt
Filed under: Stiretrus anchorago
Lineage: Eukaryota; Metazoa; Arthropoda; Insecta; Hemiptera; Pentatomidae
Source: RNAcentral
UAUAAAUUUAAUUCUGGUUUAUGGUAGAUUUUUAUUUGGUGAUUUUAAUAUGUAAGUAUUUGCGUGUUGAGGGAAUUGUUUAAAUAACAAUUUUAGGAAUAUGUAAUUUAUUCGCAGUUUUUAUUUUUAUGUAUUUAAUAAUUUAAGACAUAGUUAAUUUUAAAAUGACUAGCAAAAAUUGUGCCAGCAGCUGCGGUUACACAAUUAGUCAAUAUUAUCUUUAUUAAAAUGGUUAUUAUUUAUUAUUAUUGAUUUUAAAAUUAAUGGAUAUAUUUUUAAGUGAAAUUUAAAUGUUAAUAUAAAUUUUUGGUAAUUUAGGAGAUUAUAAGAAAUUCUUUUAUGAAACUAGGAUUAGAUACCCUAUUAUUUUUGAAUAUAAAUCUUUCUUUUUAAUAUUAAUAGUUAUGGUCUUUAAAUUGAAAGAAUAUGACGGUAAUUUAAUCAUUUUAGAGGAACCUGUUCUGUAAUUGAUAAUCCACGAUAAAUUUUACCUUAAUUAUAAUUGGUUUGUAUAUCUCUGUCUGAUGAAUGUUUUAUUAGGAAAUUUUCAUAAAUUCUUGUAAGAAUUAAUGUCAGGUCAAGGUGCAGCUAUAUUAAGGAUUGAAAUGGGUUACAUUUAAUUUUAUAGAUUAUUGGAUUAAAUAUAUGAACUAUAUUUAUGAAAUUGGAUUUAAUUGUAAUGUUUAAAAUAUAUUAUUCAUGAUAUAUGUUCUUGAUUAAGUACACAUCGCCCGUCACUCCCAUUAUUAAAAUGGGAUAAGUCGUAACAAAGUAAUUUUAUCGGAAGAUGGAGUUGGAAUUAU